CCUACGGGAGGCAGCAGUCGAGAAUCAUUCACAAUGGGGGAAACCCUGAUGGUGCGACGCCGCGUGGGGGAAUGAAGGUCUUCGGAUUGUAAACCCCUGUCAUGUGGGAGCAAAUUAAAAAGAUAGUACCCCAAGAGGAAGAGACGGCUAACUCUGGGCCAGCAGCCGCGGUAAUACAGAGGUCUCAAGCGUUGUUCGGAAUCACUGGGCGUAAAGCGUGCGUAGGCUGUUUCGUAAGUCGUGUGUGAAAGGCGCGGGCUCAACCCGCGGACGGCACAAGAUACUGCGAGACUAGAGUAAUGGAGGGGGAACCGGAAUUCUCGGUGUAGCAGUGAAAUGCGUAGAUAUCGAGAGGAACACUCGUGGCGAAGGCGGGUUCCUGGACAUUAACUGACGCUGAGGCACGAAGGCCAGGGGAGCGAAAGGGAUUAGAUACCCGAGUAGUC
RNAcentral lists this ribosomal RNA (446 nucleotides) under uncultured bacterium. Its description in RNAcentral is "partial 16S ribosomal RNA". It matches the Rfam family "Bacterial small subunit ribosomal RNA", at positions 338 to 795 of the family's 1533-position model. The record is from RNAcentral.